RNAcentral lists this ribosomal RNA (498 nucleotides) under uncultured bacterium. RNAcentral describes it as "partial 16S ribosomal RNA". It matches the Rfam family "Bacterial small subunit ribosomal RNA", at positions 29 to 523 of the family's 1533-position model. The record is from RNAcentral.
AUUGAACGCUGGCGGCAUGCCUUACACAUGCAAGUCGAACGGUAACGCGGGGCAACCUGGCGACGAGUGGCGAACGGGUGAGUAAUGCAUCGGAACGUGCCCAGUAGUGGGGGAGAGCCCGGCGAAAGCCGGAUUAAUACCGCAUACGACCUUCGGGUGAAAGGGGGGGGUCGCAUGACCUCUCGCUACUGGAGCGGCCGGUGUCAGAGUAGGUAGUUGGUGGGGUAAAAGCCUACCAAGCCGACAAUCUGUAGCCGGUCUGAGAGGACGACCAGCCACACUGGGACUGAGACACGGCCCAGACUCCUACGGGAGGCAGCAGUGGGGAAUUUUGGACAAUGGGCGCAAGCCUGAUCCAGCCAUGCCGCGUGCGGGAAGAAGGCCUUCGGGUUGUAAACCGCUUUUGUCAGGGAAGAAACGCUUCGAGUUACUACCUCGGAGUAAUGACGGUACCUGAAGAAUAAGCACCGGCUAACUACGUGCCAGCCGCCGCGGUAA